RNAcentral lists this ribosomal RNA (324 nucleotides) under Staphylococcus aureus. RNAcentral describes it as "bacterial SSU rRNA". It matches the Rfam family "Bacterial small subunit ribosomal RNA", at positions 233 to 549 of the family's 1533-position model. Lineage: Bacteria; Bacillati; Bacillota; Bacilli; Caryophanales; Staphylococcaceae. The record is from RNAcentral.
GCGCUGCAUUAGCUAGUUGGUAAGGUAACGGCUUACCAAGGCAACGAUGCAUAGCCGACCUGAGAGGGUGAUCGGCCACACUGGAACUGAGACACGGUCCAGACUCCUACGGGAGGCAGCAGUAGGGAAUCUUCCGCAAUGGGCGAAAGCCUGACGGAGCAACGCCGCGUGAGUGAUGAAGGUCUUCGGAUCGUAAAACUCUGUUAUUAGGGAAGAACAUAUGUGUAAGUAACUGUGCACAUCUUGACGGUACCUAAUCAGAAAGCCACGGCUAACUACGUGCCAGCAGCCGCGGUAAUACGUAGGUGGCAAGCGUUAUCCGGA